GAUCUCAACUCAUAUGUGAC
Molecule: ribosomal RNA, 20 nt
Filed under: Psathyromyia shannoni
Lineage: Eukaryota; Metazoa; Arthropoda; Insecta; Diptera; Psychodidae
Description: partial 28S ribosomal RNA
Source: RNAcentral